GCUCUUGUAGUUCAGUUGGUUAGACCACCAUCUUAGUAAGCGGAACUCUUGAGUUUGACUCUCAACGAGAGCA
RNAcentral lists this transfer RNA (73 nucleotides) under Nicotiana sylvestris (wood tobacco). It matches the Rfam family "tRNA". From Rfam's summary of the family: Transfer RNA (tRNA) molecules are approximately 80 nucleotides in length. Their secondary structure includes four short double-helical elements and three loops (D, anti-codon, and T loops). The record is from Rfam by way of RNAcentral. Lineage: Eukaryota; Viridiplantae; Streptophyta; Magnoliopsida; Solanales; Solanaceae. RNAcentral also lists the same sequence under 1 other name.